RNAcentral lists this ribosomal RNA (496 nucleotides) under uncultured bacterium. RNAcentral describes it as "partial 16S ribosomal RNA". It matches the Rfam family "Bacterial small subunit ribosomal RNA", at positions 28 to 507 of the family's 1533-position model. The record is from RNAcentral.
GAUGAACGCUGGCGGCGUGCCUAUCCCUGCACGUCGAGCGCACGGACGAGAAGCUUGCUUCUCUGAUGUUAGCGGCGGACGGGUGAGUAACACGUGGAUAACCUACCUAUAAGACUGGGAUAACUUCGGGAAACCGGAGCUAAUACCGGAUAAUAUUUUGAACCGCAUGGUUCAAAAGUGAAAGACGGUCUUGCUGUCACUUAUAGAUGGAUCCGCGCUGCAUUAGCUAGUUGGUAAGGUAACGGCUUACCAAGGCAACGAUGCAUAGCCGACCUGAGAGGGUGAUCGGCCACACUGGAACUGAGACACGGUCCAGACUCCUACGGGAGGCAGCAGUAGGGAAUCUUCCGCAAUGGGCGAAAGCCUGACGGAGCAACGCCGCGUGAGUGAUGAAGGUCUUCGGAUCGUAAAACUCUGUUAUUAGGGAAGAACAUAUGUGUAAGUAACUGUGCACAUCUUGACGGUACCUAAUCAGAAAGCCACGGCUAACUACGUG